Daucus carota subsp. sativus is the source of this 6069-nucleotide long non-coding RNA. RefSeq lists it as uncharacterized. The transcript has 3 exons. Lineage: Eukaryota; Viridiplantae; Streptophyta; Magnoliopsida; Apiales; Apiaceae. The record is from RefSeq and is a predicted model, not a curated record.
UAUUUAAUUAGUGUGACGACCCGAAUUUUCACAAAUUAUUUUAUUAUUCUUAUUCAGGAUUAUUCGAGGAAAAUGAGGAAUGAAAUUCAAUAUUUUAUUCUAGUUUGAUAAUUUUCAAAAAUAUUGUUUAAAUUAUUUUCCUAGUCAUUGGGGUUAUGGGAAAAAUAUCUGCCGAUCGUGCAAUUAUCUGUUACGAGAUUUAAUUGAUUUAUUUGUGUACGAUUAUAUUUGUGUGUGCAUUUAUUUCUGCGUUUGAUAUUAUUAUAUUAAAUUUAUUACCCGCCUAAAUGAAUAUUUAUAUUUGUAAAAAUAUAAAGAUAAUUUGAUAAAUUGUUUUAAUUGCUCGAUAGUGAUCAUAAAUAUUUUUAGGAGUUUUUAAAAUAUUAAAAAAAAUCUUAUUUCUACAAGGACAUGAAUUUUAAUUAGUUUCUGGAAGCAGCUAAAUUCUAAAUUUUGUAUAAAUUUAUAAAAUGCUCUAUAAGUCCCAAAAAUUUUAUUUACUGGUUUUCUAAUAUUCUAGGAUUUAUAAAAAUAUUUCGGUAAUUUUUGGGAGAAGUUUUACUAAUAAGUUAUCUCCGUAAAUUAGUUAAAAGCGGGUAUAGGUUAAUUGGUGACUUGGUACAUGGCUUCUUUUGGGGUAUAACACGUAUGUACUCUUUCAUUCUCUUAAGCCACGUACACCAUUCCUCUGUCUUUCUCUUUUAAAACCCAUUAUAAUCACACCGCCUCUCCCCCCUCGACUUCUCCAGACUCCCGCACCAUUCUUCAACCUCCCGCAUCACUUCCCUCUUCUGUCCAAAUCAGGUGCAGCUCUAUCGGAUUCCUUUUCUGGCCGAUGAGUCCUGACGCCCCAACGCCGCUAUGUUUCCGGCAAUUAAGGAAUGGUCUCCACCUACUUGAAUUCAAUUUGAAUAGAUCAAGACGUGUAUAUCGAGAAUGUUCAGAAUUAAUCCGAUGGUGUUGCAAGUUGAAGCAAGAAUAAUCUGAGAUGACAGACGUAGAAAGAGUAUUGUCAGAAGCUGCUUAGAAAGAUAUGAUUGUGCGGUAUAGUGCUAUUAGAAUCGUGACUAGACGUCGGAGUUAAGGCAAGUAUUUCUACCCUUAGUUAAGAGUAAGCGAUUUUUAUCUUCUUCGUGACCCUGACCUCUCUUUCAUGACAUGAUUCAUUUUUAUCGUGACAUCAUUCUUGUGAAUCAUGUUUAGUAAUUGAAUACCUGCAGUUGAAUUGAUAAUACCUUUGACUCACUAUUUAAACUUUGAUUUUGAUAAAAGAUUUUCAAACUACUAAAAGUAGUAACUAUUUUGAUUUGCUACAAAAUAAAUUUGUUUAACAAGAAAAGCCACUUGAAUUCUUGAAUUUACCAAAUCAUGUUAAAGCUGUAGCUUUUAAAUUUAAUAUAUUGGGUAGUUUUGCGUAAGAGGCUCAGACAUCGGCCCAGCGUGAAAGGUGGCUCCUUUAGCCCGGAUUACCGGAAUUCGUAAUAUUUGUCAACCUUGCUGAAUAAGCUUGGUUUAUGGACUAUAGCAUGACUGAUCAUCUGUUAUAGCCAGGUGUCUUAUUUAAACCCAAUUAAAUAUUGAUUAGUUUCAAAGGAGAUUAUCUUAUGUUCAAAAGAUAAUGGAAGUUAUUUUUAUUUCUACAGCUUUAAAUUCAUAUAUUGAUGCAGAACUGUUUUAUCAUUGUUUACCAUUUUACUCUUUUAUACUGAACUGUUGGUUUACAACAUCAUGUUUAAUCCAGAGUUUACUUUCACUUCAACAUUCUGAUUCACUUAAAUAUAUAUAUCUUGUUGCUUCCACCUAUCAUAUUCUUGCUGAGCAUUAUUGCUCAUUCUUGCUAUUCCUUCUAACCUUUUUCAGCUAGGGAUAAAGAUGAUUCACUAAAGACUGCGCGUAAAGAGUAAUGAUAGGCAAUGAUUGCAAGUGGUUGAGUUCAGGAAAAUUGUUAGGUAGGGUAUCCGGGACGAUGUGAUUAAGACUAGAUGCAGUUGGAGUUCUGCAAUUCAAUUCAGUUGGAAAUGAGAUUUGUUUAUUUGGUUAUCAGCUACUCUUCUUAUCGAUGUUUAGCUGAUAAUGCAGUUUUAUUUGUAAUGAAAUUUGAUAGUUUUAGUUUCUGAUUUCAAUGCUGUAACCUGUAUGCGAUCCUGUUUUCAGGGGGUGAAUUUGAUUUUAAUUUAAAUCAUUUUUUUUAAAAAUAUCCAGGUUUUGAAAUAUUUGUAUUUACUUUCUUUCAAAGAUACAGGUUUUAAAUUGUUUUUCUUUCAGUGACUCAAAAAUACAGGUUUUAAAUUAUUUUUAUUUACACGUGGCACCAGAUCCAGACCCCCGGAUUUGAGGGAUGUCACAGUUGGUAUCAGAGCUACAGGUUAUAAGUUAUUGAAAUCAGAAUGUAGAUUGUAAUAAUAGGUUUGAUAAAAAGGAUUACGUGGUGUAACCUCACAUAGAGGUACCGUAAGACUAUUUGGGGAUAGUCUUUCUAAGCAGAAUAAAAUGGAGCUAGAUGAUUAAGUUUAACUGUUUAUAGUUAUAGACAUCACACUUCCUAAUUCUAGUUCUUCCAGUCCCUGGUAUAUUGACCAAUUUAGAGUUAAAUCAAUCUAAGAUGGUCGAAGUAAGACCUAUCAGCAGAACCUUCAAGCUAGAACCAGUUGAGGUCGGACCCGUAGAGAUUUCCACACAGUCUAAUAUAUCAUUUAUAGUAUAUGCCAAGUGUUGAGUAUUAUUUGGAGAGUCACCUUUUGAUUCUUGUCAGAGAUAUCUAGAAUUGGUGAAAGAAUAUAGGUGUUACCAAGUCUGAGUUUAAAGCUUUGUAAAUAGUUAAGUACUGAGAAUUAGAGCUACGUAGAAUUCGUGUUAGAUUCCUCGAUCCAGUACUUAUAAGCGAGUUAAGACGUCAACGCUAUAUGGUGAUAUUAUUGCAUAAAGUUGGAUAAGACUUCUGACCGGCAACGAUAUCAAUGAUGGGAUCUUCAAAGGCUAUUACUAGUCAACGAUAAUAUAUGCAAGUGAUCACUAGAACGUCAAGAAGAAUCACUAGUAUCAAAACGAGUCAUCAAAGGAAUCGAUCAAGAAGACAUCUGUGAGAAUCUUGGCAAUACCUUCCUCUUUGUUGAUUAUAUUGAUUACCUUCUUCAUCAAUGAAUUGUCUUGACAUCUUUUCCUAGAGAUGUUUGAUAAAGACUAUAUUUCUAUCUCUUGAGUUAUAAAAUGAUACUUGUGUCUAUUUUAUCAUUUCUAACUAAUCUUUUCAUUGAAACUAGCACCUUUGGAACUUAUUCAAUUUUUAACUCAAGGUGCGCAUCAAAGAUUCAUUCAUCAAAAGUCAAUCAUUCUUAAUUGAUUUUGAAAAUCUAUCAUAUCAUUCUACUCUAACUGAGAUGAACAACCCUACCUAUAGGGGACACAAGGACUACCAGUCUGUGUGAUAGGAGUUGGAUGGGACGCCAUCACUUGUGUGUGUUGUACAUUACAAGAAGGUUAACUACCUUUAGUAGUGUCUUAAUCUAGACACGCAACACUGAGUUCAUUAGAUCAUAUUGGUCUCUCAGUUAUCUCUAUUUCAAGUGAGAUUUAUUUAACACUCUCAUAAUCAUAUGACCACAAUCACGUGACAUUUGCUUCGAUAUAUGAAAUUUGGUCAUACUUUUAAAUCUUCAAGAUUCUCGUUAUCUCUAAUAGUUUGGAGGUAUGCCUACCAUGUUGCCAAUAUGAAUUGAGACUUUAUACCAGGAAGUACCAUGGAUAAAAGCGGAUGACAAUGCGGGUAUACGACAGCGAUUAAGAAAAUUGUUAUAUCAGAAAGGGGUAUUACAGAUUAUAGAGAUCGUAUGCUCUUGUUUGCUUUUCGCUGAUUCCGAGGACGGAAUCCUUUUAAGGGGGGUAGAUUGUGACGACCCGAAUUUUCACAAAUUAUUUUAUUAUUCUUAUUCAGGAUUAUUCGAGGAAAAUGAGGAAUGAAAUUCAAUAUUUUAUUCUAGUUUGAUAAUUUUCAAAAAUAUUGUUUAAAUUAUUUUCCUAGUCAUUGGGGUUAUGGGAAAAAUAUCUGCCGAUCGUGCAAUUAUCUGUUACGAGAUUUAAUUGAUUUAUUUGUGUACGAUUAUAUUUGUGUGUGCAUUUAUUUCUGCGUUUGAUAUUAUUAUAUUAAAUUUAUUACCCGCCUAAAUGAAUAUUUAUAUUUGUAAAAAUAUAAAGAUAAUUUGAUAAAUUGUUUUAAUUGCUCGAUAGUGAUCAUAAAUAUUUUUAGGAGUUUUUAAAAUAUUAAAAAAAAUCUUAUUUCUACAAGGACAUGAAUUUUAAUUAGUUUCUGGAAGCAGCUAAAUUCUAAAUUUUGUAUAAAUUUAUAAAAUGCUCUAUAAGUCCCAAAAAUUUUAUUUACUGGUUUUCUAAUAUUCUAGGAUUUAUAAAAAUAUUUCGGUAAUUUUUGGGAGAAGUUUUACUAAUAAGUUAUCUCCGUAAAUUAGUUAAAAGCGGGUAUAGGUUAAUUGGUGACUUGGUACAUGGCUUCUUUUGGGGUAUAACACGUAUGUACUCUUUCAUUCUCUUAAGCCACGUACACCAUUCCUCUGUCUUUCUCUUUUAAAACCCAUUAUAAUCACACCGCCUCUCCCCCCUCGACUUCUCCAGACUCCCGCACCAUUCUUCAACCUCCCGCAUCACUUCCCUCUUCUGUCCAAAUCAGGUGCAGCUCUAUCGGAUUCCUUUUCUGGCCGAUGAGUCCUGACGCCCCAACGCCGCUAUGUUUCCGGCAAUUAAGGAAUGGUCUCCACCUACUUGAAUUCAAUUUGAAUAGAUCAAGACGUGUAUAUCGAGAAUGUUCAGAAUUAAUCCGAUGGUGAUGCAAGUUGAAGCAAGAAUAAUCUGAGAUGACAGACGUAGAAAGAGUAUUGUCAGAAGCUGCUUAGAAAGAUAUGAUUGUGCGGUAUAGUGCUAUUAGAAUCGUGACUAGACGUCGGAGUUAAGGCAAGUAUUUCUACCCUUAGUUAAGAGUAAGCGAUUUUUAUCUUCUUCGUGACCCUGACCUCUCUUUCAUGACAUGAUUCAUUUUUAUCGUGACAUCAUUCUUGUGAAUCAUGUUUAGUAAUUGAAUACCUGCAGUUGAAUUGAUAAUACCUUUGACUCACUAUUUAAACUUUGAUUUUGAUAAAAGAUUUUCAAACUACUAAAAGUAGUAACUAUUUUGAUUUGCUACAAAAUAAAUUUGUUUAACAAGAAAAGCCACUUGAAUUCUUGAAUUUACCAAAUCAUGUUAAAGCUGUAGCUUUUAAAUUUAAUAUAUUGGGUAGUUUUGCGUAAGAGGCUCAGACAUCGGCCCAGCGUGAAAGGUGGCUCCUUUAGCCCGGAUUACCGGAAUUCGUAAUAUUUGUCAACCUUGCUGAAUAAGCUUGGUUUAUGGACUAUAGCAUGACUGAUCAUCUGUUAUAGCCAGGUGUCUUAUUUAAACCCAAUUAAAUAUUGAUUAGUUUCAAAGGAGAUUAUCUUAUGUUCAAAAGAUAAUGGAAGUUAUUUUUAUUUCUACAGCUUUAAAUUCAUAUAUUGAUGCAGAACUGUUUUAUCAUUGUUUACCAUUUUACUCUUUUAUACUGAACUGUUGGUUUACAACAUCAUGUUUAAUCCAGAGUUUACUUUCACUUCAACAUUCUGAUUCACUUAAAUAUAUAUAUCUUGUUGCUUCCACCUAUCAUAUUCUUGCUGAGCAUUAUUGCUCAUUCUUGCUAUUCCUUCUAACCUUUUUCAGCUAGGGAUAAAGAUGAUUCACUAAAGACUGCGCGUAAAGAGUAAUGAUAGGCAAUGAUUGCAAGUGGUUGAGUUCAGGAAAAUUGUUAGGUAGGGUAUCCGGGACGAUGUGAUUAAGACUAGAUGCAGUUGGAGUUCUGCAAUUCAAUUCAGUUGGAAAUGAGAUUUGUUUAUUUGGUUAUCAGCUACUCUUCUUAUCGAUGUUUAGCUGAUAAUGCAGUUUUAUUUGUAAUGAAAUUUGAUAGUUUUAGUUUCUGAUUUCAAUGCUGUAACCUGUAUGCGAUCCUGUUUUCAGGGGGUGAAUUUGAUUUUAAUUUAAAUCAUUUUUUUUAAAAA